GUUUAACAAAAACAUGUCUUUUUGAUUAUAAUUUAAAGUCUGGCCUGCCCAAUGAAUAAAUUUUAAUGGCCGCAGUAUAUUGACUGUGCAAAGGUAGCAUAAUCAUUAGUUUUUUAAUUGAAAGCUGGAAUGAAAGGUUGGAUGAAAAAAUAACUGUCUCUAUCUAAAUUAAUUAGAAUUUUAUUUUUAAGUAAAAAAGCUUAAAUAAUGAUAAAAGACGAGAAGACCCUAUAGAGUUUUAUAUUUUUUUAGAAAUAUAAUUUUUAGUAUUUUUAGUUUAAAUUUUUAAGAAGUAUUUAAUUGGGGUGAUUAAAAAAUUAAAAAAACUUUUUUUAAAUUUUUACAUUUAUUUUUGAAAAUAUGAUCCUUUAAUUGAGAUUAUAAGAAAAAAUUACCUUAGGGAUAACAGCGUAAUUUUUUUUAAGAGUUCUAAUCGAAAAAAGAGAUUGCGACCUCGAUGUUGGAUUAAAA
This 471-nucleotide ribosomal RNA is filed under the name Conotrachelus sp. SPN-044. Its description in RNAcentral is "partial 16S ribosomal RNA". Lineage: Eukaryota; Metazoa; Arthropoda; Insecta; Coleoptera; Curculionidae. The record is from RNAcentral.